This 485-nucleotide long non-coding RNA is filed under the name Setaria italica (foxtail millet). RNAcentral's name for it is "long non-coding RNA (SITA_LNC001508)". Lineage: Eukaryota; Viridiplantae; Streptophyta; Magnoliopsida; Poales; Poaceae. The record is from RNAcentral.
AACCAGCUGUUAAAGUUUAACACCCGUCACAUCGGAUGUUUGGAUGCUAAUUAGGAGUAUUAAAUAUAGACUAAUUACAAAACUAAUUGCACGGAUGGAGUAUAAUUCGCGAGACGAAUCUAUUAAGCCUAAUUAGUCCAUGAUUUGACAAUAUGGUGCUACAGUAACCAUUUGCUAAUGAUGGAUUAAUUAGGCUUAAUAGAUUCGUCUCGUGAAUUAACACAGGGUUCUGCAAUUAGUUUUAUAAUUAGCUCAUGUUUAGUUCUCCUAAUUAGCAUCCGAACAUCCGAUGUGACACUGUUAAAGUUUAACACCUCGUAUCCAAACACCCCCUUUGCUUUGCUGCCCAAUAUUCAGUGGCUUUCAUGGAGCAAAGCAGCAGUGCUUACACCAGUCAUAAGCCCUGGUAUGUAUGAUUAUAUGCUGCCUCAUUUCGCAAUACUUUAUUUGGUGGCCAUCUGAAAAAUCUUUGGGAGCGCAGAGAC